UGUGUAGGUGUCUUGAUAAGUCGGGUGUGAAAUCCUUCGGCUCAACCGGAGAAUUGCGCUCGAAACUAUUAAGAUUGAGUGUAUUAGAGGAAAGGGGAAUUCUUGGUGUAAGGGUGAAAUCUGUAGAUAUCAAGAAGAACACCGGCGGCGAAGGCGCCUUUCUGGGAUACAACUGACACUGAAACACGAAAGCGUGGGGAGCAAACAGGAUUAGAUACCCUGGUAGUCC
Molecule: ribosomal RNA, 229 nt
Filed under: uncultured bacterium
Lineage: Bacteria
Description: partial 16S ribosomal RNA
Rfam family: Bacterial small subunit ribosomal RNA
Source: RNAcentral